Long non-coding RNA from Harpegnathos saltator (Jerdon's jumping ant), 1109 nucleotides. RefSeq lists it as uncharacterized. The transcript has 5 exons. Lineage: Eukaryota; Metazoa; Arthropoda; Insecta; Hymenoptera; Formicidae. The record is from RefSeq and is a predicted model, not a curated record.
AAUACAAGAUUACUGCCACUUCAAUCGUCGCUCCGAUGGGCCCAAGCUUUGACAAUGAACUGAUCCCGAGUGUAAAUUGCUAUCAAUCCAACGAUUGCUCAAUUAUUAUCAUUUCACAUGUUCGACAUAUGUUUGAUUAUAUCUAAACGUUGCGCGUAAAACAUCUCGGCUUUAUAUCAAGAAUUAUCAGAGCGGUGGCGGUGGACAAGACAAGCAGAGUCAACAUCGCCAGCGGAUAGAACAGCGUACGCCUGACCCACCACGUGCUCCUCUGUCGAUCCAACAGCUGUCGCUGUCUCUGAAUGUCUUCUAGCCUCUCGGCAAGGCCUUUUUGUAAAGCACCAUUUCUGAGGCACAUCAGACUUGGAUUCACGCUCAGCAACGGCUCAUCUUCCUCCAUUAAUGAGCUACAACCUGGUAGAGACAUCGGCACCGGUGACACGUACGACUUACCCGUCGCUUUUACAUGCUGCAAUCUGAAUAUAUACGCUGAAUUGUUAUAUUGAAACUAAGCCAACGCAAUCGACGAGAUUUACGCGAAAAAGAGAGGACACAUUUACCGUCGGCGGAUGCAAUCUUCCUCCAAUCUAUAUUUACACGUGCAUGUACAUGCCUUUACUUACUGAGCAAUGUGUGCAAACUUGAGUUUUGAUGAUCUAGCAGGGCAGACAGCACGUACGUCAUUCCCAAUACGAGAGUGCCCAGCAGAAAAAGAACAGUCAGUGUCUCGUACACCCUCGCCAUCACGCCCUAUGAUUAGAAUUAUUUCAAUAAGGCGAAACGGAAGAGGCGCAGUUAUGCAUCACUGCACUGAAUUAUUGAGUGGCCCCGCCUUACCCUUUUAUGGCCCAUGAAACCCUCCGACUCUGUGAAAAGAUAAAUAGCCGGGUGUGCCUGGCGCGACAUUCUCGGCCACGCGACUGGCAAGUUUCCCGGCUGAAAGCUGAGAAUAGGACUGAUGGAAGCAGGAUAGAUACGAACGUCUGAGGCGAGAACAAUGUACGAAAGCUCCGGUUGUAUACAGAGCAAAUCUAAAAAAAGAGCCGAAGAAUUUGGGAGCACCUAAAAAAAAACACGAACGAAAAAAUAAUCAUAUGCUCAUGGGUCAG